Molecule: ribosomal RNA, 409 nt
Filed under: uncultured bacterium
Lineage: Bacteria
Description: bacterial SSU rRNA
Rfam family: Bacterial small subunit ribosomal RNA
Source: RNAcentral
CAGCAGCCGCGGUAAUACGGAGGGUGCAAGCGUUGUUCGGAAUUACUGGGCGUAAAGCGCGUGUAGGCGGUCGGGCAAGUUAGAUGUGAAAGCCUUCCGCUUAACGGAAGAAGUGCAUUUAAUACUACCCGGCUGGAGUACGGGAGAGGAGAGUGGAAUUCCCGGUGUAGAGGUGAAAUUCGUAGAUAUCGGGAGGAACACCAGUGGCGAAGGCGGCUCUCUGGUCCGAUACUGACGCUGAGACGCGAAAGCGUGUGGAGCAAACAGGAUUAGAUACCCUGGUAGUCCACGCCGUAAACGAUGGGCACUAGGUGUAGGAGGUAUUGACCCCUUCUGUGCCGAAGUUAACGCAUUAAGUGCCCCGCCUGGGGAGUACGACCGCAAGGUUAAAACUCAAAGGAAUUGACGG